GAUCAUGGCUCAGGAUGAACGCUGGCGGCGUGCCUAACACAUGCAAGUCGAGCGGAGCUUUGGUUGAAACAGUCUUCGGACUGCGGAUACCUUAGUUUAGCGGCGGACGGGUGAGUAACGCGUGGGUAAUCUGCCCCUGACAAUGGAAUAACUGUGAGAAAUCACAACUAAUACCAUAUAAGCCCCCGGCGCUACAUGGCGCAGAGGGAAAAGAUUUAUCGGUGAGGGAUGAGCCCGCGUCUGAUUAGCUAGUUGGUGGGGUAAGAGCCUACCAAGGCAACGAUCAGUAGCCGGCCUGAGAGGGUGAACGGCCACAUUGGGACUGAGACACGGCCCAAACUCCUACGGGAGGCAGCAGUGGGGAAUAUUGCACAAUGGGGGAAACCCUGAUGCAGCAACGCCGCGUGAAGGAAGAAGGUCUUCGGAUCGUAAACUUCUUUAGGCAGGGAAGAAAACAAUGACGGUACCUGCAGAAUAAGCACCGGCUAACUACGUGCCAGCAGCCGCGGUAAUACGUAGGGUGCAAGCGUUAUCCGGAAUUACUGGGUGUAAAGGGUGAGUAGGCGGUUUUAUAAGCCAUAUGUGAAAUGCGGGG
This 595-nucleotide ribosomal RNA is filed under the name uncultured Clostridia bacterium. RNAcentral's name for it is "bacterial SSU rRNA". It matches the Rfam family "Bacterial small subunit ribosomal RNA", at positions 15 to 606 of the family's 1533-position model. The record is from RNAcentral. Lineage: Bacteria; Bacillati; Bacillota; Clostridia.